Peromyscus leucopus (white-footed mouse) is the source of this 1720-nucleotide long non-coding RNA. RefSeq lists it as uncharacterized. NCBI's taxonomy places the organism in Eukaryota, Metazoa, Chordata, Mammalia, Rodentia, Cricetidae. The transcript has 3 exons. The record is from RefSeq and is a predicted model, not a curated record.
UGAGCAGAGAGGGUCACAGUUGAUAUGAAGACAGUUGGAGAGAAGACAGGUUAAGGGAUAGACGCUGGGAUCAUGUACAGAAUAGGGGUGUUGGUUUGGGAAAGAGAAAAGCCCUGUAUCUGCCAGACUUGGGCCAAGAGGAAGCUGAAGGGGCACCCCAAGGGGCCGCAGAGAAUAGCACGAUGCCGCAGAGUCACUGAAGCCCUGUCUGGGAAGGGAAGGGUUCGAGUAGAGAGGAGUCAUCGUGGCUUUGUGCACCUGCUGAAUGCCAGGAUCCCGGAACGGAAAUGAUGUCAACAGGCUUGGGAGCAGGCAUCUGGACGCACCUUGACCCACCUCGCCACCUCGCCAGCUCAGUUAUUUUCUGGAACCAGCAAACAUUAGAUUUGAAUAUAUCACUAACCUAUCAAGAAAUGUGCUUCUGAACACAGUUUGGAUAAGUGCAGUUUCUUGAUUGUCCCAGGCUUCCUGGGGAUGAAAAGAUGACGUGCCAGGUGGGCCUCAGUAGUGAUGAGACUGAAGGAACGACCAUCAAGAUGUAAGGACAAGGCACACAGCUCUUUGGGUUGGCCCUCUCAAGCUCAGGACCAAUUCCUGACGUGAUAAGGUUUGUUCCUGCACGAUCUGUAGCCUGCCUGGUCUAUGAGUAGAGCCUCCUGCCAUGAAAUAAAAGCAGAGAGAGGCCGUGGGACCCCAGCAGCAGCUUGACUAAAGCAAAAUGAGGAAACCUUGGGGCUGACGACUCCUUUCCUUUCAUUAUUUCUAGAUAAUAUCAGAUUUUUGGCCUCGAGGGAGCACACACAGAAUGAGGCCUGGUGACCUCUGAGCAGGCAAGUCAGGGAUAGUAGAUGAAUCCUGGAGCUGGUUUGCUGAUAGCACAAAUCAGCCACCGAUGCUGUUGAUCUUGUCUGCUGGUGAGAGAGGGUAGAGGUGAGAAGGAGCUGACGGUGUCCCAGAGGCGCCAUAUUGGGAGCAGUGAACAGGCCAGAGCUGAACCUGGGGACAUCUGGACCUGUGGGAAUCAGAGCAGUGACGAGUUUCUGGUGAGCAGCAAAGAUUAAUGCCUGGAAUCCAUUGCCAUGGCAUAUCCCUGCACGUCUACCUGAACAAGAGUGCCCGUAUUGACGUCUUUAGGCUCAGCAUUCACACUUCAUCUGUGUGAGCCAGCUAGAGAGCUGGAUGAAGCCAGGGUGCCUGGGUUCCCGCUGCAGGGUCCACAAGUGGGCUUCAAAUCCGGCGUUCCCGGAGAGACAUUUCUGUGGCCUUGCCACUUACCAGCUGUGCCAUCUUGGAAGCACUGUCUAAAUCUCUGUACCCUAGUCCUCUUUUCUGUCAUGUGGUGAUAAUGGUCCCAACUGGAUACCUGGGAGGUUUAAAUGAGGUCAAGAGUAGGAGCGGUUCAUUUGAACCAGGUUUCUUUUAGUUAUGGAGGUUCUUUCCAAGUUGGACUACUUGGGAAAAAAAAUACCUGACCUUGAUAGCUGAGCAUUUGAUAAUCACAGGGACUCAUGAAGGGACAUGAGGGGCUGAUGAGCCCCAUUCCCAGAAAUCCCUGGGGAUCUUGGUGUCUUGUGCCUGCAUUUCUAGAGUCUACACUGUUUGCUCCUGGCAACAGGGUCUACAACUUAGCUGAGAUGUUCAGAGAGGUCCCGGCUCCUGCUGGACGCCUCAGGUGGGGUUCAAGGGCCUGUAUUUAGGGCAGACCUCCUUAGCGUCAGCA